UACGGGGGGAGCAAGCGUUGUUCGGAUUUACUGGGCGUAAAGGGCGCGUAGGCGGUCGUGACAAGUCACUUGUGAAAUCUCCGGGCUUAACUCGGAACGGUCAAGUGAUACCGUCGGACUAGAGUACAGAAGGGGCAACUGGAAUUCUCGGUGUAGCGGUGAAAUGCGUAGAUAUCGAGAGGAACACCUGCGGCGAAGGCGGGUUGCUGGGCUGAUACUGACGCUGAGGCGCGAAAGCGUGGGGAGCGAACAGG
RNAcentral lists this ribosomal RNA (254 nucleotides) under uncultured bacterium. RNAcentral describes it as "partial 16S ribosomal RNA". It matches the Rfam family "Bacterial small subunit ribosomal RNA", at positions 524 to 776 of the family's 1533-position model. The record is from RNAcentral.